This 2903-nucleotide ribosomal RNA is filed under the name Escherichia coli. Its description in RNAcentral is "23S ribosomal RNA". It matches the Rfam family "Bacterial large subunit ribosomal RNA". The record is from RNAcentral. Lineage: Bacteria; Pseudomonadati; Pseudomonadota; Gammaproteobacteria; Enterobacterales; Enterobacteriaceae.
GGUUAAGCGACUAAGCGUACACGGUGGAUGCCCUGGCAGUCAGAGGCGAUGAAGGACGUGCUAAUCUGCGAUAAGCGUCGGUAAGGUGAUAUGAACCGUUAUAACCGGCGAUUUCCGAAUGGGGAAACCCAGUGUGUUUCGACACACUAUCAUUAACUGAAUCCAUAGGUUAAUGAGGCGAACCGGGGGAACUGAAACAUCUAAGUACCCCGAGGAAAAGAAAUCAACCGAGAUUCCCCCAGUAGCGGCGAGCGAACGGGGAGCAGCCCAGAGCCUGAAUCAGUGUGUGUGUUAGUGGAAGCGUCUGGAAAGGCGCGCGAUACAGGGUGACAGCCCCGUACACAAAAAUGCACAUGCUGUGAGCUCGAUGAGUAGGGCGGGACACGUGGUAUCCUGUCUGAAUAUGGGGGGACCAUCCUCCAAGGCUAAAUACUCCUGACUGACCGAUAGUGAACCAGUACCGUGAGGGAAAGGCGAAAAGAACCCCGGCGAGGGGAGUGAAAAAGAACCUGAAACCGUGUACGUACAAGCAGUGGGAGCACGCUUAGGCGUGUGACUGCGUACCUUUUGUAUAAUGGGUCAGCGACUUAUAUUCUGUAGCAAGGUUAACCGAAUAGGGGAGCCGAAGGGAAACCGAGUCUUAACUGGGCGUUAAGUUGCAGGGUAUAGACCCGAAACCCGGUGAUCUAGCCAUGGGCAGGUUGAAGGUUGGGUAACACUAACUGGAGGACCGAACCGACUAAUGUUGAAAAAUUAGCGGAUGACUUGUGGCUGGGGGUGAAAGGCCAAUCAAACCGGGAGAUAGCUGGUUCUCCCCGAAAGCUAUUUAGGUAGCGCCUCGUGAAUUCAUCUCCGGGGGUAGAGCACUGUUUCGGCAAGGGGGUCAUCCCGACUUACCAACCCGAUGCAAACUGCGAAUACCGGAGAAUGUUAUCACGGGAGACACACGGCGGGUGCUAACGUCCGUCGUGAAGAGGGAAACAACCCAGACCGCCAGCUAAGGUCCCAAAGUCAUGGUUAAGUGGGAAACGAUGUGGGAAGGCCCAGACAGCCAGGAUGUUGGCUUAGAAGCAGCCAUCAUUUAAAGAAAGCGUAAUAGCUCACUGGUCGAGUCGGCCUGCGCGGAAGAUGUAACGGGGCUAAACCAUGCACCGAAGCUGCGGCAGCGACACUAUGUGUUGUUGGGUAGGGGAGCGUUCUGUAAGCCUGUGAAGGUGUACUGUGAGGUAUGCUGGAGGUAUCAGAAGUGCGAAUGCUGACAUAAGUAACGAUAAAGCGGGUGAAAAGCCCGCUCGCCGGAAGACCAAGGGUUCCUGUCCAACGUUAAUCGGGGCAGGGUGAGUCGACCCCUAAGGCGAGGCCGAAAGGCGUAGUCGAUGGGAAACAGGUUAAUAUUCCUGUACUUGGUGUUACUGCGAAGGGGGGACGGAGAAGGCUAUGUUGGCCGGGCGACGGUUGUCCCGGUUUAAGCGUGUAGGCUGGUUUUCCAGGCAAAUCCGGAAAAUCAAGGCUGAGGCGUGAUGACGAGGCACUACGGUGCUGAAGCAACAAAUGCCCUGCUUCCAGGAAAAGCCUCUAAGCAUCAGGUAACAUCAAAUCGUACCCCAAACCGACACAGGUGGUCAGGUAGAGAAUACCAAGGCGCUUGAGAGAACUCGGGUGAAGGAACUAGGCAAAAUGGUGCCGUAACUUCGGGAGAAGGCACGCUGAUAUGUAGGUGAAGUCCCUCGCGGAUGGAGCUGAAAUCAGUCGAAGAUACCAGCUGGCUGCAACUGUUUAUUAAAAACACAGCACUGUGCAAACACGAAAGUGGACGUAUACGGUGUGACGCCUGCCCGGUGCCGGAAGGUUAAUUGAUGGGGUCAGCGCAAGCGAAGCUCUUGAUCGAAGCCCCGGUAAACGGCGGCCGUAACUAUAACGGUCCUAAGGUAGCGAAAUUCCUUGUCGGGUAAGUUCCGACCUGCACGAAUGGCGUAAUGAUGGCCAGGCUGUCUCCACCCGAGACUCAGUGAAAUUGAACUCGCUGUGAAGAUGCAGUGUACCCGCGGCAAGACGGAAAGACCCCGUGAACCUUUACUAUAGCUUGACACUGAACAUUGAGCCUUGAUGUGUAGGAUAGGUGGGAGGCUUUGAAGUGUGGACGCCAGUCUGCAUGGAGCCGACCUUGAAAUACCACCCUUUAAUGUUUGAUGUUCUAACGUUGACCCGUAAUCCGGGUUGCGGACAGUGUCUGGUGGGUAGUUUGACUGGGGCGGUCUCCUCCUAAAGAGUAACGGAGGAGCACGAAGGUUGGCUAAUCCUGGUCGGACAUCAGGAGGUUAGUGCAAUGGCAUAAGCCAGCUUGACUGCGAGCGUGACGGCGCGAGCAGGUGCGAAAGCAGGUCAUAGUGAUCCGGUGGUUCUGAAUGGAAGGGCCAUCGCUCAACGGAUAAAAGGUACUCCGGGGAUAACAGGCUGAUACCGCCCAAGAGUUCAUAUCGACGGCGGUGUUUGGCACCUCGAUGUCGGCUCAUCACAUCCUGGGGCUGAAGUAGGUCCCAAGGGUAUGGCUGUUCGCCAUUUAAAGUGGUACGCGAGCUGGGUUUAGAACGUCGUGAGACAGUUCGGUCCCUAUCUGCCGUGGGCGCUGGAGAAUUGAGGGGGGCUGCUCCUAGUACGAGAGGACCGGAGUGGACGCAUCACUGGUGUUCGGGUUGUCAUGCCAAUGGCACUGCCCGGUAGCUAAAUGCGGAAGAGAUAAGUGCUGAAAGCAUCUAAGCACGAAACUUGCCCCGAGAUGAGUUCUCCCUGACUCCUUGAGAGUCCUGAAGGAACGUUGAAGACGACGACGUUGAUAGGCCGGGUGUGUAAGCGCAGCGAUGCGUUGAGCUAACCGGUACUAAUGAACCGUGAGGCUUAACCUU